This 497-nucleotide ribosomal RNA is filed under the name uncultured bacterium. RNAcentral's name for it is "partial 16S ribosomal RNA". It matches the Rfam family "Bacterial small subunit ribosomal RNA", at positions 28 to 507 of the family's 1533-position model. The record is from RNAcentral.
GAUGAACGCUGGCGGCGUGCCUAAUACAUGCAAGUCGAGCGAACAGACGAGGAGCUUGCUCCUCUGACGUUAGCGGCGGACGGGUCAGUAACACGUGGAUAACCUACCUAUAAGACUGGGAUAACUUCGGGAAACCGGAGCUAAUACCGGAUAAUAUAUUGAACCGCAUGGUUCAAUAGUGAAAGACGGUUUUGCUUUCACUAAUAGAUGAAUCCGCGCCGCAUUAGCUAGUUGGUAGGGUAACGGCUUACCAAGGCGACGAUGCGUAGCCGACCUGAGAGGGUGAUCGGCCACACUGGAACUGAGACACGGUCCAGACUCCUACGGGAGGCAGCAGUAGGGAAUCUUCCGCAAUGGGCGAAAGCCUGACGGAGCAACGCCGCGUGAGUGAUGAAGGUCUUCGGAUCGUAAAACUCUGUUAUUAGGGAAGAACAAAUGUGUAAGUAACUAUGCACGUCUUGACGGUACCUAAUCAGAAAGCCACGGCUAACUACGUG